AUUUUCUUAGUAUAAUAGUAUAGAUGACUUCCAAUCACCUGGUCUUGGUUAAACCCGAGAGAAAAUA
This 67-nucleotide transfer RNA is filed under the name Aquarana catesbeiana (American bullfrog). Its description in RNAcentral is "Rana catesbeiana (bullfrog) tRNA". It matches the Rfam family "tRNA". From Rfam's summary of the family: Transfer RNA (tRNA) molecules are approximately 80 nucleotides in length. Their secondary structure includes four short double-helical elements and three loops (D, anti-codon, and T loops). Lineage: Eukaryota; Metazoa; Chordata; Amphibia; Anura; Ranidae. The record is from Rfam by way of RNAcentral.